AAAUGCUUGUCAAAGGAGUGAGGAAAAAGACAGAACAAUGAAUAAAAAUCAGUCCACCAACGUUGCCCUUGUUAUUCUAACAAAACGUGUACGAAUAAAAAACGGAAGCUUUUAGCUCUCUGGCUCGUCGUGAGCAUGCGCAGAACGUCACUGGCUUUCCGCUGGCUUGCGUCACGGCCAGGUUGCGUCCCUUGGGGCUGUCAAACACGUCUGGGUCGCCCCACAUAAUGACAUUAAAAAAGGUUCUUCUUGGA
Long non-coding RNA from Triplophysa dalaica, 254 nucleotides. RefSeq lists it as uncharacterized. The record is from RefSeq and is a predicted model, not a curated record. The transcript has 2 exons. NCBI's taxonomy places the organism in Eukaryota, Metazoa, Chordata, Actinopteri, Cypriniformes, Nemacheilidae.